AACUCUCAACAACGGAUAUCUAGGCUCUCGCAACGAUGAAGAACGCAGCGAAAUGCGAUACGUAGUGUGAAUUGCAGAAUUCCGUGAGUCAUCAAUCUUUGAACGCACAUUGCCGGUCGACUCUUCGGAGGAGACCACAUCUGCCUCAGCGUCG
This 154-nucleotide ribosomal RNA is filed under the name Ulva scandinavica. RNAcentral describes it as "5.8S ribosomal RNA". It matches the Rfam family "5.8S ribosomal RNA". Rfam says of the family: 5.8S ribosomal RNA (5.8S rRNA) is a component of the large subunit of the eukaryotic ribosome. It is transcribed by RNA polymerase I as part of the 45S precursor that also contains 18S and 28S rRNA. The record is from RNAcentral. Lineage: Eukaryota; Viridiplantae; Chlorophyta; Ulvophyceae; Ulvales; Ulvaceae.